CCUUUACUGUAGCUUUGUAUUGGACUUUGAACAGAUCUGUGUAGGAUAGGUGGGAGGCUUUGAAGCAGUGUCGCUAGAUCUUGUGGAGCCAACGUUGAAAUACCACCCUGGUGUGUUUGAGGUUCUAACCUAGGUCCAUUAUCUGGAUCGGGGACAGUGCAUGGUAGGCAGUUUGACUGGGGCGGUCUCCUCCCAAAGCGUAACGGAGGAGUUCGAAGGUACGCUAGUACGGUCGGACAUCGUGACGAUAGUGCAAUGGCAUAAGCGUGCUUAACUGCGAGACUGACAAGUCGAGCAGAUGCGAAAGCAGGACAUAGUGAUCCGGUGGUUCUGUAUGGAAGGGCCAUCGCUCAACGGAUAAAAGGUA
This 367-nucleotide ribosomal RNA is filed under the name uncultured alga. RNAcentral describes it as "bacterial LSU rRNA". It matches the Rfam family "Bacterial large subunit ribosomal RNA", at positions 2098 to 2465 of the family's 2925-position model. The record is from RNAcentral.